CACAUGACUCUCGGCAACGGAUAUCUCGGCUCUCGCAUCGAUGAAGAACGUAGCAAAAUGCGAUACCUGGUGUGAAUUGCAGAAUCCCGUGAACCAUCGAGUUUUUGAACGCAAGUUGCGCCCGAGGCCUCCUGGUUGAGGGCACGUCUGCCUGGGCGUCACGC
RNAcentral lists this ribosomal RNA (164 nucleotides) under Muhlenbergia cenchroides. RNAcentral describes it as "5.8S ribosomal RNA". It matches the Rfam family "5.8S ribosomal RNA". From Rfam's summary of the family: 5.8S ribosomal RNA (5.8S rRNA) is a component of the large subunit of the eukaryotic ribosome. It is transcribed by RNA polymerase I as part of the 45S precursor that also contains 18S and 28S rRNA. Lineage: Eukaryota; Viridiplantae; Streptophyta; Magnoliopsida; Poales; Poaceae. The record is from RNAcentral.